RNAcentral lists this non-coding RNA (31 nucleotides) under Rattus norvegicus (Norway rat). The record is from RNAcentral. Lineage: Eukaryota; Metazoa; Chordata; Mammalia; Rodentia; Muridae.
UAGGAUGGCAGAGUCUUGGUGUCCUAGCAGC